UAGGGAAUCUUCGGCAAUGGGGGGAACCCUGACCGAGCAACGCCGCGUGAGUGAAGAAGGUUUUCGGAUCGUAAAGCUCUGUUGUUAAGGAAGAACGAGUGUGAGAAUGGAAAGUUCAUACUGUGACGGUACUUAACCAGAAAGGGACGGCUAACUACGUGCCAGCAGCCGCGGUAAUACGUAGGUCCCGAGCGUUGUCCGGAUUUAUUGGGCGUAAAGCGAGCGCAGGCGGUUAGAUAAGUCUGAAGUUAAAGGCAGUGGCUCAACCAUUGUAGGCUUUGGAAACUGUUUAACUUGAGUGCAGAAGGGGAGAGUGGAAUUCCAUGUGUAGCGGUGAAAUGCGUAGAUAUAUGGAGGAACACCGGUGGCGAAAGCGGCUCUCUGGUCUGUAACUGACGCUGAGGCUCGAAAGCGUGGGGAGCGAACAGGAUUAGAUACCCUGGUAGUCCACGCCGUAAAACGAUGAGUGCUAGGUGUUAGGUCCUUUCCGGGACUUAGUGCCGCAGCUAACGCAUUAAAGCACUCCGCCUGGAGGAGUACGACCGCAAGGUUG
RNAcentral lists this ribosomal RNA (553 nucleotides) under uncultured bacterium. Its description in RNAcentral is "bacterial SSU rRNA". It matches the Rfam family "Bacterial small subunit ribosomal RNA", at positions 355 to 896 of the family's 1533-position model. The record is from RNAcentral.